GGGUUGUGAGGUUAAGCGACUAAGCGUACACGGUGGAUGCCCUGGCAGUCAGAGGCGAUGAAGGACGUGCUAAUCUGCGAAAAGCGUCGGUAAGGUGAUAUGAACCGUUAUAACCGGCGAUGUCCGAAUGGGGAAACCCAGUGCAAUUCGUUGCACUAUCGUUAACUGAAUACAUAGGUUAACGAGGCGAACCGGGGGAACUGAAACAUCUAAGUACCCCGAGGAAAAGAAAUCAACCGAGAUUCCCCCAGUAGCGGCGAGCGAACGGGGAGCAGCCCAGAGUCUGAAUCAGCUUGUGUGUUAGUGGAACGGUCUGGAAAGUCCGACGGUACAGGGUGAUAGUCCCGUACACCAAAAUGCACAGGCUGUGAACUCGAAGAGUAGGGCGGGACACGUGGUAUCCUGUCUGAAUAUGGGGGGACCAUCCUCCAAGGCUAAAUACUCCUGACUGACCGAUAGUGAACCAGUACCGUGAGGGAAAGGCGAAAAGAACCCCGGCGAGGGGAGUGAAAAAGAACCUGAAACCGUGUACGUACAAGCAGUGGGAGCACCUUCGGGUGUGACUGCGUACCGUUUGUAUAAUGGGUCAGCGACUUAUAUUCUGUAGCAAGGUUAACCGUAUAGGGGAGCCGCAGGGAAACCGAGUCUUAACUGGGCGUUAAGUUGCAGGGUAUAGACCCGAAACCCGGUGAUCUAGCCAUGGGCAGGUUGAAGGUUGGGUAACACUAACUGGAGGACCGAACCGACUAAUGUUGAAAAAAUUAGCGGAUGACUUGUGGCUGGGGUGAAAGGCCAAUCAAACCGGGAGAUAGCUGGUUCUCCCCGAAAGCUAUUUAGGUAGCGCCUCGUGAAUUCAUCUUCGUGGGUAGAGCACUGUUUCGGCUAGGGGGUCAUCCCGACUUACCAACCCGAUGCAAACUACGAAUACCGAAGAAUGUUAUCACGGGAGACACACGGCGGGUGCUAACGUCCGUCGUGAAGAGGGAAACAACCCAGACCGCCAGCUAAGGUCCCAAAGUCAUGGUUAAGUGGGAAACGAUGUGGGAAGGCACAGACAGCCGGGAUGUUGGCUUAGAAGCAGCCAUCAUUUAAAGAAAGCGUAAUAGCUCACUGGUCGAGUCGGCCUGCGCGGAAGAUGUAACGGGGCUAAACCAUGCACCGAAGCUGCGGCAGCGACACUAUGUGUUGUUGGGUAGGGGAGCGUUCUGUAAGCCUGCGAAGGUGUGCUGUGAGGCAUGCUGGAGGUAUCAGAAGUGCGAAUGCUGACAUAAGUAACGAUAAAGCGGGUGAAAAGCCCGCUCGCCGGAAGACCAAGGGUUCCUGUCCAACGUUAAUCGGGGCAGGGUGAGUCGACCCCUAAGGCGAGGCCGAAAGGCGUAGUCGAUGGGAAACAGGUUAAUAUUCCUGUACUUGGUGUUACUGCGAAGGGGGGACGGAGAAGGCUAUGUUAGCCGGGCGACGGUUGUCCCGGUUUAAGCAUGUAGGCUGGUUGUCCAGGCAAAUCCGGAUAAUCAAGGCUGAGGUGUGAUGACGAGGCACUACGGUGCUGAAGUAACAAAUGCCCUGCUUCCAGGAAAAGCCUCUAAGCAUCAGGUAACAUCAAAUCGUACCCCAAACCGACACAGGUGGUCAGGUAGAGAAUACCAAGGCGCUUGAGAGAACUCGGGUGAAGGAACUAGGCAAAAUGGUGCCGUAACUUCGGGAGAAGGCACGCUGGUGUGUAGGUGAAGCCCUGCGGGUGGAGCUGAGACCAGUCGAAGAUACCAGCUGGCUGCAACUGUUUAUUAAAAACACAGCACUGUGCAAACACGAAAGUGGACGUAUACGGUGUGACGCCUGCCCGGUGCCGGAAGGUUAAUUGAUGGGGUUAUCCGUAAGGAGAAGCUCUUGAUCGAAGCCCCGGUAAACGGCGGCCGUAACUAUAACGGUCCUAAGGUAGCGAAAUUCCUUGUCGGGUAAGUUCCGACCUGCACGAAUGGCGUAAUGAUGGCCAGGCUGUCUCCACCCGAGACUCAGUGAAAUUGAACUCGCUGUGAAGAUGCAGUGUACCCGCGGCAAGACGGAAAGACCCCGUGAACCUUUACUAUAGCUUGACACUGAACAUUGAGCCUUGAUGUGUAGGAUAGGUGGGAGGCUUUGAAGCGUGGACGCCAGUCUGCGUGGAGCCAACCUUGAAAUACCACCCUUUAAUGUUUGAUGUUCUAACGUUGGCCCCUGACCGGGGUUGCGGACAGUGUCUGGUGGGUAGUUUGACUGGGGCGGUCUCCUCCCAAAGCGUAACGGAGGAGCACGAAGGUUAGCUAAUCCCUCGGUCGGACAUCAGGAGGUUAGUGCAAUGGCAUAAGCUAGCUUGACUGCGAGCGUGACGGCGCGAGCAGGUGCGAAAGCAGGUCAUAGUGAUCCGGUGGUUCUGAAUGGAAGGGCCAUCGCUCAACGGAUAAAAGGUACUCCGGGGAUAACAGGCUGAUACCGCCCAAGAGUUCAUAUCGACGGCGGUGUUUGGCACCUCGAUGUCGGCUCAUCACAUCCUGGGGCUGAAGUAGGUCCCAAGGGUAUGGCUGUUCGCCAUUUAAAGUGGUACGCGAGCUGGGUUUAGAACGUCGUGAGACAGUUCGGUCCCUAUCUGCCGUGGGCGCUGGAGAAUUGAGGGGGCUGCUCCUAGUACGAGAGGACCGGAGUGGACGCAUCACUGGUGUUCGGGUUGUCAUGCCAAUGGCACUGCCCGGUAGCUAAAUGCGGAAGAGAUAAGUGCUGAAAGCAUCUAAGCACGAAACUUGCCCCGAGAUGAGUUCUCCCUGAGACUUUAAGUCUCCUGAAGGAACGUUGAAGACGACGACGUUGAUAGGCCGGGUGUGUAAGCGCAGCGAUGCGUUGAGCUAACCGGUACUAAUGAACCGUGAGGCUUAACCUUACAACGCCGAAG
RNAcentral lists this ribosomal RNA (2923 nucleotides) under Klebsiella pneumoniae. Its description in RNAcentral is "bacterial LSU rRNA". It matches the Rfam family "Bacterial large subunit ribosomal RNA". Lineage: Bacteria; Pseudomonadati; Pseudomonadota; Gammaproteobacteria; Enterobacterales; Enterobacteriaceae. The record is from RNAcentral.